Molecule: ribosomal RNA, 578 nt
Filed under: uncultured bacterium
Lineage: Bacteria
Description: bacterial SSU rRNA
Rfam family: Bacterial small subunit ribosomal RNA
Source: RNAcentral
GAGGUGUGGCUUCCGGAGCUAACGCGUUAAGUCGACCGCUGGGGAGUACGGCCGCAAGGUUAAACUCAAAUGAAUUGACGGGGGCCCGCACAAGCGGUGGGCAGUGGUUUAAUUCGAUGCAACGCGAAGAACUUACCUGGUCUUGACAUCCAGGUGCUGCAUGGCUGUCGUCAGCUCGUGUUGUGAAAUGUUGGGUUAAGUCCCGCAACGAGCGCAACCCUUAUCCUUUGUUGCAACUCAAAGGAGACUGCCAGUGAUAAACUGGAGGAAGGUGGGGAUGACGUCAAGUCAUCAUGGCCCUUACGACCAGGGCUACACACGUGCUACAAUGGCGCAUACAAAGAGAAGCGACCUCGCGAGAGCAAGCGGACCUCAUAAAGUGCGUCGUAGUCCGGAUUGGAGUCUGCAACUCGACUCCAUGAAGUCGGAAUCGCUAGUAAUCGUGGAUCAGAUGCCACGGUGAAUACGUUCCCGGGCCUUGUACACACCGCCCGUCACACCAUGGGAGUGGGUUGCAAAAGAAGUAGGUUACCACUUUGUGAUUCAUGACUGGGGUGAAGUCGUAACAAGGUAACCGA